GUUGAACAUGUUUUUAUUCCAACCUUGUGAAAGGGACAAACGGAUACGUUUUCAUUUUUCUCAAAAACAACUUUAUAUCGAUGGAGUGCGUUUGAUUUGACGGCUUGCACAUGCGCAGUUCGCAGCACACGGCCGUUAGACCCAAUGACGGGUUUUACGAUUGAGUUUAGAUAUCCAACGUCGCCAUGACAUCGCCUACAAGUGUGGUCGGGGAUUUCUAUUGGAGAAGCAGUUUUAGCCUAUCUUCAUAUUGUACUGUCUUUGACAUAGGUCUUCGCAUUAUAAUCAAAGCAACUGGUUGCUAUGGCAUCGGGGAGAGGUCGUCCCGUCAACCAAUCAGAGAUGAAUUCCCACGGUCUUAUAAACCAAUGAAAAUAGGACUCUGGGAAUAGCGGAAAUACAUGAAACCCAUGGCACAAAUACAUUUUUUGCUCAUACCACGUGUUUAUAGGGAAUCGCGAGUUGAUGAUCGCCUAAAGCCAAGUUUUCCAGGAUGCUGGAUUAGAGAUAUUACUGUGGGGAUUGCUACUACUGCCUGUGAUCUGAGGACAACCAGCCAGUGUCUAUCCCCUCCUCUGCUACUGGGCCAGACACACGAGUGCGCACACACACACACACCCUACAGGUUAACAAACCAUGCAACUUUAUGCACAACGACUGCUUUUAACAAUUUCCACAGAAAAUGUUACAAAAACUAAUUUAGUGGAAGAGCUUUGGUAAUAGAAUUACAGUCAAAUCUUAUUCAGGUUUUUGUGACCAAAAACUCUGUUAAAUAUCUGCUGAAUGAAGAUUGAAAUGUCUGCUGAAGACUGGGGAGUCAGCUAUGUCGUGGCACCGUAGCUUAGAAAACAUAUAUUUUGGUUAUUGAACUACAGUAAGUGAAGUGGAUUUACACCUUGUAACAGAAUUAUGGUAAUGGGAUUACAUCAUGGGUCCCUGGUCUGUACUACACACAGAAAUGCAUAAUUAUGUUUGUCAUUCUCCUCAUGUUUCACAAGUUUGGUCAUCACAGUGCAGCAGAGUACAAUACAGCACAGUGGAGUACAUGACAGUACAUUACAAUGUACUGUACCACUGCAUUGUAUUAGACUACUCUAUUGUGCUCUACUCACUGUACUGCACUGUGCUAUCCAAACUUGUGAAACAUACGUCUAUGAUAGGUUCGGAUUUGGUCCGGUCCGUCUGUGGACGUUAACAUCAAGGCCAGGGUGGACUGACCAACUUUCAACUACUUUUCAACGUCCAUGGACAUCAGGUGUCGGUCGGUGCACAGUGGGUGAGGCUGAUGCUCACAGUAAAUGGAAAGAGAGGGGACUCGUGGUUAGGUGUCUAAGAGCUGGGAGAGGUGACAUUUAACUGGAGAGAGACAGACAGGGAGGGGAGGGGUUGCUGAACAUAACAGUAUGGAAGAGGGAGGACCGUAGAAGGUGACCCAACUGUGGUUUGUGACUAUUAUGAUUUCCCAUUGUAUCCAAUUCAGUUGCAGUAAUUCCCUUUAAUAUUUUUUGGGGUAAGAGUUUGAAUUCAUCAUUCAUAAACAUAAUUGAUAUAGUAAUUUGAACUCAUUACUAGGUC
Molecule: long non-coding RNA, 1575 nt
Organism: Oncorhynchus tshawytscha (Chinook salmon)
Lineage: Eukaryota; Metazoa; Chordata; Actinopteri; Salmoniformes; Salmonidae
Source: Ensembl